RNAcentral lists this microRNA precursor (90 nucleotides) under Canis lupus familiaris (dog). Its description in RNAcentral is "mir-8799 microRNA precursor family". It matches the Rfam family "mir-8799 microRNA precursor family". The record is from Rfam by way of RNAcentral. Lineage: Eukaryota; Metazoa; Chordata; Mammalia; Carnivora; Canidae.
GGGGGAGAGCAGGGUCCUGGGCUGUGUCCCCGUGGCUCUGGGAUCCGGGACCUGCACUGCUGGAAUCACGCUCCUGGGGCCCUGGCCCCU